Molecule: long non-coding RNA, 6445 nt
Filed under: Solanum tuberosum (potato)
Lineage: Eukaryota; Viridiplantae; Streptophyta; Magnoliopsida; Solanales; Solanaceae
Description: long non-coding RNA (STUB_LNC007614)
Source: RNAcentral
UCACUGAUAUAAGGAGCAGGAUGAGUCUGUUUGUCACUGGAUUGUCUCGUCUGUCAAGCAAGGAGGCAAGGCAGCUAUGCUAAUAGGGGACAUGGACAUAGCGAGACUUAUGGUAUAUGUGCAGCAAGUUUAGGAAGAGAAGUUGAGGGAUAGAGAAGAAUUCAGAAACAAGAAAGCUAAGACAGGGAAUAAGUCUGGGCAGCAAAGGGGUAAUGUGAACCGUUCUUCCUUUCAACCUAAGCAAAAAGGACCUGCUCCAUCAUCUGCUAGUGCACCUGCACCAAAGAACAAAGGUGAGUAUAAUACUCAGAAUUUCAGAGCUAGACCUGCUCAGUCUCAAGGUAGUGUGGCACAAAGAGGUAAUUGGGUUCCUACAUGUGCUAAGUGUGGUAGGAACCAACCAGGUAAAUGUCGUGAUGGCUCCACUGGUUUUUUCAAGUGUGGUCAAGAGGGUCACUUCAUGAAAGAGUGCGCUAAGAACCGGCAAGGCAAUGGGAAUCAAGGCAAUAGAGCUCAAUCUUCAUCAGUUGCUCCACUAGACAUAGCUGCAUCUAGAGGAGCUACUUCAGGUACUGGCGGAGGAUCAAACCGUCUAUAUUCUAUCACUAGUCGUCUAGAGCAAGAGAAUUCUACAUAUGUUGUCACUGGUAUGAUCAAAGUCUUUACUCUUGAUGUUUAUGCUUUGCUAGACCUAGGAGAGAGUUUAUCUUUUGUGACUCCUGUUGGGGAGUCUAUUCUAGUUGAGUGAGUCUAUCGUAAUUGUACUAUUUCCGUCAAUCACAAGAGCGCCAUGGAUGAUUUAGUUGAGUUAGACAUGGUUGAUUUUGAUGUUAUUCUUGGCUGGCUACAUGCCUGUUAUGCCUCCAUUGAUUGUAGGACUCGAGUUGUCAAGUUUCAGUUUCCUAAUGAGCCAGUUAUAGAGUGAAGUAGUAGUUCAGCAGUGCCUAAGGGUCGUUUCAUUUCGUACCUUAAGGUCAGAAAGUUAGUUUCCAAGGGUUGUGUCUAUAACUUAGUCCAAGUUAAUAACUCUAGUGUCGAGACACCUCUUAUUGAGUCAGUUCCAAUUGUGAGUGAGUUUCCAGAAGUCUUUCCUGACGAUCUACCCGGAGUUCCUUCUGAGAGAGAAAUAGAUUUCGGUAUAGAUCUUCUUCCCGAUACUCAUCAUAUAUCUGUUAACUGCCAUAUAGAAUGGCUCCAGCAGAGUUAAAAGAGCUAAAACGAAUAGUUGAAAAGAUUCUCUUUUGAUAAGGGUUUUAUUGACCAAGUGUCUCACCUUGGGGCGCUCGGUCUUAUUUGUGAGGAAGAAAGAUGGGUUACUCUUAGAAUGUGUAUAGAUUACCGUCAGUUGAACAAAGUUACUAUCAAGAAUAAGUAUCCUCUUCCGAGAAUUGAUGAUCUCUUCGGUCAACUUCAGAGUGCCACUUGUUACUCUAAGAUAGACCUCAGAUAUGGCUACCAUCAGUUAAGAGUAAGGGAAUGUGAUAUUCCAAAGAUCGCAUUCAGGACCCGUUAUGGUCAUUAUGAGUUCCUAGUUAUGUCCUUUGGUUUGACUAAUGCGCCUGCAGCAUUCAUGGACCUUAUAAAUAGAGUAUUCAAGCCUUAUUUAGAUAUGUUUGUUACCGUGUUCAUUGAUGACAUACUAAUCUAUUUGAGGAAUGAGGAAGAUCAUGCUAGCUAUCUCAGAAUAGUUCUCCAGACUCUAAAGGAUAAGGAGUUGUAUGAUAAGUUCUCUAAAUGUGAGUUUUGGCUUGAGUCUGUGGCAUUCUUGGGUCACAUUGUUUACAGUGAUGGGAUUAGAGUUGACAGUCAGAGAAUAGAGGCAGUGCAGAAUUGGCCUAGACCCACAUCUCCAACUGAUAUUUGGAGUUUCUUGGGGUUGGUUGGAUAUUAUAGAAGGUUCAUAGAGGGGUUCUCAUCUAUUUCGUCCCCUUUGACCAUGUUGACUUAGAAAAUAGUGAAGUUUCAAUAGUCUGAAGUUUGUGAGAAAAGCUUUCAGGAAUUGAAAAGGAGGUUGACUACAGCCCUAGUAUUUACCUUAGCAGAAGGUACUCAAGGUUUUGUUGUGUAUUGUGAUGCUUCCAGAUUUGGUUUGGGUUGUGUGUUAAUGCAGAAUGAUAAAGUUAUAGCGUAUGCCUCCAGACAGCUAAAAGUUCACAAGAAGAAUUAUCCAACCCAUGACCUAGAAUUGGCUGUCGUAGUGUUCAUGUGGAUGUGUUCGCCGAUCACAAAAGUCUUCGGUAUGUGUUUAGUCAGAAAGAGAUUAAUCUCAGACAGAGGAGGUGGUUAGAGUUACUCAAGGAUUAUGACAUGAGUAUUCUUUAUCACCCAGGUAAGGCUAACGUUUUUGUUGAUGCAUUGAGUAGGAUAUUUAUGGGUAGUACCGCCCAUGUGGAGGAAGAAAAGAGAGAGUUAGCUAAAGAUGUACAUAGACCUGCACGAUUAGGAGUUCGCCUAAUGGAUUCCACUGAAGGAGGAGUAGUUGUGAUUAAUGGAGCUGAAUCAUCAUUAGUGUCUGAAGUUAAAGAAAAACAAGACCAAGACCCUAUUUUUCUUGAAUUGAAGGCAAGUGUUCAUAAGCAAAAAGUAAUGGCUUUUGAACAAGAGGGAGAUGGCGUUUUGAGGUAUCAAGGUAGGUUGUGUGUACCAAGGGUGGAUGAACUCUAAGAGAGGAUCAUGGAGAAAGCUCAUAGCUCCAAAUAUUCCAUUCAUCCAGGUUUCACAAAGAUGUAUCGUGACUUGAGAGAAGUUUAUUGGUGGAAUAGUAUGAAGAAAGGUAUCGCAGAGUUUGUUGCUAAGUAUCUGAAUUGCCAACAAGUUAAGGUAGAGCAUCAAAGGCCCAGUGGUAUGGCUCAGAAUAUAGAGAUUCCGGAAUAGAAGUGGGAGAUGAUCAAUAUGGACUUCAUUACUGGGUUGCCUCGGUCUCGCAGGAAACAUGAUUCUAUUUGGGUGAUUGUUGAUAGAAUGACAAAAUCAGCCCACUUUUUACCGGUAAAGACUACCCAUUCAGUAGAGGAUUAUGCCAAGUUGUAUCUUCAAGAGGUGGUUAGACUUCAUGGAGUUCCAGUUUUAAUUAUUUCAGAUAGAGGUACCCAAUUUACUGCAUAGUUUUGGAAGUCUUUCCAGAAAGGUUUGGGUUCGAAGGUGAACUUAAGUAUUGUUUUUCAUCCUCAGACAGAUGGUCAAGCAGAGCGCACUAUUCAUACUCUAGAAGAUAUGUUGAGGGCCUGUGUGAUUGAUUUCAAAGGUAACUGGGAUGAUCACCUACCUCUCAUUGAGUUUGCUUAUAACAAUAGUUACCACUCUAGCAUCCAGAUGGCUCCGUAUGAAGCUCUUUAUGGGAGAAGAUGCAGAUCUCCAAUUGGAUGGUUUGAGGUUGGUGAAGCUGGGUUGAUAGGACCAGACUUAGUUCAUCAAGCUAUGGAGAAAGUGAAAGUUAUUUAAGAGAGGUUGAAAACAACGCUGAGUCAUCAGAAAUCUUACAAUGAUGUUAGGAGAAGGGAGUUAGAGUUUGAGGUAUAUGAUUGGGUAUACUUGAAAGUUUCACCCAAGAAGGGUGUUAUGAGAUUUGGUAAAAAGGGGAAGCUUUGUCCCCGGUAUAUUGGCUCUUAUAGAAUAUACAAAAGGAUUGGUAAUGUAGCUUAUGAAUUGGAGCUACCACAUGAGUUAGUAGCGGUCCAUCUGGUAUUUCACAUUUCCAUGUUGAAGAAGUGCAUGGGAGAUCCUUCACUUAUCAUACCAACUGAAGCUAUUGGUAUCAAGGAUAGCUUGUCUUAUGAGGAGAUCACUGUUCAGAUUCUAGACCAUCAGGUUCGCAAGUUGAAGACCAAGGAAGUAGCAUCGGCCAAAGUUCUUUGGAGAAAUCAGUUUGUUAAGGGAGAUACUUGGGAAGCUGAGGAGGAUAUGAAGAAGAGGCAUCCACACCUCUUUGAUCCAGGAGAAAUUCCAGACCAAGGUACUAAUUCUUUUCUUAGUACUCUUUAAUUGAUAUGCUUAAUGUGUUAAAUUUGUUUGUUGGGUGUUUGAGUUGAAUAUUAGAUGUUACACCAUUAGUCUACUUAGAGUGAUCUCAUUUGAGGACGAAUGUUCCCAAGGGGGAGAUAUUGUAACACCUCCCUAAGUGAAAGAGUUAGAAUUAGAAAGAUUCAUUUUUGGAAAGAAUGAAAAAUCUAGAAAUUUGUUUAAGUGAUGUUAAGCUUGAGUUUUGGGUCAACUUCAAACGACCAUAACUCCUAUCUUAUGAUGAGUUAGGUGUGCUACUAGAUACCGUAGGAAAGAUCUUUGAAUUACCUUUCCAAUAACGCUGCUGAGUUUGCUCAAUUCUGAGUUCGUAUGAGGGAGAUAUGGCCAUUAAAAGUUGGGUUGUCUAGUUAAGGAAAGUCAAAACCGGAUUUUAGAAGGGUAUUAUGGUCUUUUCACUACACAAUUUAUUAAAUUUGUUUUUGGUAAUUAAGUUGGGGUCUCAACUGAUAGGAUUCAGUUUACGCUAUUGAAAACAAGUUAGGGUUUUGAGAUAAGAGAUAAGAAGAGGAGAAAGGAGGAGAAGAAGCAAGGAUUUGUCGCGUUCUUGAAGUUAAGCUCGUUGAUUUCGCCAAGGGUUGAUCCCUACGAGAUAUGUGAGAUCACAUAGCAUUGGGUUAGUUCACCCACGCGCCAAACAUGAUUAAAUUCGGCGUAUUUGUGUUCUUGAAAGAAAAGCUUAUGAGUUCUUGAUGAAUUUUGUUGAAGUUUCGUUUGAAUCUCGAUUGUGGAGUUUUUGGAGGAGUUCUUGAUGUGAUUUAACGAGAUUUAAGGUUGUUUUUUAGUUUAUUCUUGUAUAUUUUGGUUAUGUAUUCAAAUCUAAGCAUUUGGGGAAGGAACCAUUUGAAUCUAGAGGGUUUAGAGUUGAAAAAUGAGCAAGAAAGUUCGGGGAUUUCUGGGGAGGGGUCUGGGGAGUCGCGCCAGCCAGAGCUCCCCACUUUGUGCUCUGUAGUUUGAGCUCUGGGGCGCCGCGCCAGCCAGUGCGCUCCAUCCCUAGUUCUGAAGUUUUCCCUCUGGCUCCCCGCGCCACUCAGAAGUGUCUGGAAACUGUUUGCAGAAGUUGCUGGAAUACAAGUCUAAACAUGCUUUAAUACUAGGUGUGAAUAGAAUGAUUCACUUGUUGGUUAAGGUAAGAUAUUCAUGGCUGAAGGAAAUAACUAAUACUUGGCCACUGCUUGUUAAACAUUUGGAAGAGUAUACUCCUUUAAAUUGUUGCAAGGUGGUGACUUGGAAACUACCAUCUCGGGGAGGAUUUUUAAAGGUAAUACUGAUGGGUGUAGCAAAGGGAAUCCCGGUCUUAGUGCAGUGACAUUUUGUAUUAGGAAUGAUGAAGGUGAUCUGAUAAAUGCUGAAGCAAAGAAAAUAGGGGAAGCUUCAGCGAUCGAAGCUGGAAUGAAAGCAGUGAAACUGGGUCUAGAGUAUUGUGUUCAAAAGGGUUAUCUACCAUUAACUAAUUAAACUGAUUCAUUGAUUACUAAAAAUAUCAUAGAUGGAGUUUGGGACGUUCCUUGGAUUUUUACUAUGGAUGUGAAAAGCACAAAGGUUUCAAUGCACAGUAGGAACGUGGAGGUGAUUCACACAUUCAGAGAAAGGAAUAAACUAGCUGAUUUUUUUAACUAACAAUGCUAUUCAUUUUGCAGGUAUAGAUACAAAGAGAUAUUUUCACAUACAUGAGUUACCAAAAAUAGCACAAGCCAUCAUUCAAUUGGAAAAGAAUCAAAUCCCAAAUUUGAGAAUAACAAAAGAUGCAAAACAAAGGCUUUACCAGAAAUGCACAUAAUACAAGCAGAUACACAGGGCAUGACAUGAACAACAACAAGGAAACAAAUUAAGGACAAGGGUAUUACAUUACAACAACAAGAAAUUAAAAUCGCUGAUCUUAGAGCUCAAUAAAGUGUUGAGUACGUUCAUUUCUGUUAUAAGAUCGAGAUUAGGGUGCUUACCUCUCUAGUCAUAUAUGGUGGUAUUAGCUUCUUCGGAGCUCAUCCCGUGUAAGAUCGAUGAGAUACGGAGAAAGAUGCUCUAAAAUUGAUGAUGAGCUGAAAUGGACGUCUAAACGAAUCUUUCCAUAAAGUGAUUUGUGUGAGGUCGUCUUCAUCUUGCAGCUCUAUCUCAGAUAAUAUUUUCACUCAUCAAGCUGAAGAAGUCUUCCUAGGUGUUGAAUCAUGGCCUCAGUGAGAGCUUUUGACGUAUAAGUGAUUUCACUCUGAAAUCGGAGGCGUUGAAGAUUUCAGCUGGUCUAGUGGAUACGGUGAGGGCGAUCAAUUGGCCAACUUUCCAUCGGAGAAGAUGAAGCUUCAUCUGGAGAUUUGAGGAAAGUCAGUUGACCUUUUUGGGGAUUCAAUUUCCAAAUGGGUUUCACUGCUUUGUUAUUUAAUUUUGUUGUUUCAUUUCUCAGGUUUGGGCCUUUUGGGUCUUGAGUCUUGAC